UCUCUUCCAGAAAGAUAGCGGAAGAGCGUUCUUCUUCUACGUUUGUUAAAAGCACCACACUGCCAUCCGUCGUCUUGGCGGUGUAAGCGGAGAACUGUCUCGGAGGUGCUGGAGACUCACUUGAAAAACAACAGCUAACGUUAGCAAGUGGAGUUGCUAGCAAACGCAAUUUGUUAGCAACUGUUGUUAACAUUAAAGUAGCGUUGGAUUUGAUCGCAACACACCAAACGUAGUCUUAUAUUCAAUCCUAUAGCGGUAAGAAAGGCAAUGGUCCAUGAAGAGUUUUGGAUACACGGAGAGUGGCUUGUCCACCAAGGUCAUCAUCAGACACUGGAGCACCGAUAAAACACUCAAAACUGAUAAACCAUGAUCCCCAUCACUGAGUUGCGGUACUUUGUGGACACACAGCCGGCAUACCGCAUCCUGAAACCAUGGUGGGAUGUGUUCACAGACUACAUCUCCAUUGUUAUGCUUAUGAUUUCUGUGUUUGGGGGGACACUGCAGGUCACCCAGGACAAGAUGAUCUGCCUGCCCUGCAAAUGGGUGGUCAACCAGACCUGCAGGAAGAACUUCAAUUCUACUCUCUCCCCAUCAUUGUUCUUGGAGCCCAAAGGGAUCCAGUAUGAUCUGGACCGCCACCAGUACAACUAUGUGGAUGCUGUGUGCUAUGAGAAUAGAUUGCACUGGUUUGCCAAGUAUUUUCCUUACCUAGUAUUACUUCACACCCUUAUUUUCCUAGCUUGCAGCAACUUUUGGUUUAAGUUCCCACGGACUAGUUCCAAACUAGAGCACUUUGUAUCCAUCCUACUGAAAUGCUUUGACUCUCCAUGGACAACUAGGGCACUGUCAGAAACCGUGGUCGAAGAGAGUGACCCAAAACCAAUGAAAAUGAACGGCUCAAUGGACCACAAGGAGUCCGUUAUCAGUGAGGAUGUUGAAGCCAGUGUUCCUAUGCUCCAAAGAACAAAGACACGCCUUGAGCAGGGCAUUGUAGAUAGAACAGAAACCGGGGUUUUGGACAAGAAAGAGGGUGAACAGGCAAAAGCACUCUUUGAAAAAGUCAAAAAGUUCCGUAUACACGUUGAAGAAGGAGACAUUGUAUACAGACUGUAUAUCCGUCAGACUAUCAUCAAAGUCAUCAAGUUUAUUUUGAUAAUCUGCUAUACAGGGUAUUACGUGCAUGAUAUUCAAUUCAGUGUUGACUGUUCGGUGAAUAUAGAGAGCCUGACCGGUUACAGCAUGUACCGAUGUGCUCACCCCUUGGCUACACUUUUUAAAAUAUUAGCCUGUUUCUACAUUAGCUUAGUAAUGGUGUAUGGUUUGAUCUGCAUGUACACACUUUCCUGGAUGCUUCGGCGCUCUCUAAAGAAGUACUCCUUUGAGUCGAUACGGGAAGAGAGCAGCUACAGUGACAUACCCGAUGUGAAGAAUGACUUUGCAUUCAUGAUGCACAUGAUAGAUCAGUAUGACCCUCUGUACUCCAAACGCUUCGCUGUGUUCCUCUCAGAAGUAAGCGAAAAUAAGCUGAGGCAACUCAACCUCAACAAUGAGUGGACACUGGACAAGCUCCGGCAAAGGAUUACCAAGAACUCUCAGGAGAAGUUGGAGUUGCACCUUUUCAUGCUGAGUGGCAUUCCAGACACAGUAUUUGACCUGAUGGAGCUGGAGGUUGUUAAACUGGAGCUUAUCCCUGAUGUCACCAUCCCGCCGAUCAUCGCCCAAUUGGUCAACCUGCGGGAGCUGUGGCUUUACCACACACCAGCCAAAAUCGAAGCUCCUGCAUUGGCUUUUUUGCGUGAGAACUUGAAGUCUCUGCACAUCAAGUUCACUGACAUCAAAGAGAUUCCCUUAUGGAUCUACAGUUUGAAGAAUCUUAGUGAGCUUCAUCUCACAGGGAAUCUCAGUGCGGAGAACAACCGUUACAUUGUCAUUGAUGGGCUCCGGGAGCUCAAGAGGCUCAAAGUUCUUCGUCUGAAGAGCAAUCUCACCAAGCUACCUCAGGUAGUGACUGAUGUGGGCUUGCACCUCCAGAAGCUUUCCAUCAAUAAUGAAGGCACCAAGCUGAUGGUGCUCAACAGCCUGAAGAAGAUGGUCAAUCUGACCGAGCUAGAGCUCAUUCGCUGUGAUCUAGAACGCAUACCACACUCAAUCUUCAGCUUGCACAACUUGCAGGAGAUUGAUCUAAAAGACAACAAUCUAAAGACCAUCGAGGAGAUCAUCAGCUUCCAGCACCUUCAUCGGCUGGUCUGCCUUAAGCUCUGGUACAACCAGAUUGCCUAUAUUCCCAUCCAGAUUGGCACACUGACCAACCUGGAGAAACUGUACCUGAACAGAAACAAGAUCGAGAAGAUCCCCAGCCAUUUGUUUUAUUGCCGCAAGCUGCGCUUCCUGGACCUGAGCCAUAACAACCUAACUGAUAUCCCUACCGACAUAGGCUUCCUCCAGAAUCUUCAGUACCUGGCAGUUACUGCCAACAGGAUUGAGGUUCUGCCUAAUGAGCUGUUCCACUGCAAAAAGCUUCGCACUUUGAACUUAGGGAACAAUUGCCUGCAUUCUCUGCCAUCGCGCUUCGGAGAGCUGACCGGGCUGACACAGCUGGAGCUGAGAGGAAACAAUCUGGAGUGUCUGCCUGUGGAGCUGGGCGAGUGCCGACAGCUAAAGAGAACGGGUCUCGUGGUAGAGGAGGACAUCUUCAACACCCUGCCCACGGAGGUCAAGGAACAAUUAUGGAAAAUGGACAAAGAUCAGGCUUGAACAAGUCUGUGGCUGUGUGUUAAAAAUACUGACCAACUGGGCGCUGACACAGAAGGAAGACCUACGCUGUCCUAGAGGGCUUGUUGAAUCAGGCAGUAGUUCUGCUGCAGUGCACUGUCAGUAAGGAGGGAAGACCAUGGCCCUCAAAUACCUUCAUGUGUGCUUGGUUUGAAAAUGAACGUAUAACAAUAAAUAACAAAUCAGGGAUAACUAAUAAGUCAUGUCAAGCAAGGUUAUGGAUUCUGAGAUUCUUUUGUCUCAGAAGGUGUGUAAGGGAGAGGGUCAUUGAGGAGACAAGUAGAGAGGAGAGUGCAAGUGCUGUAGAGACUGAUGAGUUGAUUGUGGUUGGCCUGAGUCUUGGUAGCAGUACAACAUGUGGUAUUAGACUAGAGAGUGCAAUCCUUACAUGGAGCCAGUUUGGCAGAGUGCAGGGUUCGAUGGCAUCUUAUUAUUAAGCAGAUACCUCACCCGUACUGUCAGUAUACUAUUCAGUGCUGAAAAGGUUUUGAAUGAGAGAAGUCAUGUCUGCAUCAAAAUAAUUAAACUGAAGCUUAUACAGGAGAAAACAAUAUUGACAUUAAAAUGGACCCUCCAGAUAGUAAAGAGUUUAGAUGAAUACAGAUGCUUACCUGAAACACUGGAUUGGUUUACCCUUUCUGGGACUGGUAUACAGUAAGCACUGGCCUACUUGUAUGCCCUGAUAGUUGAGUGUUAUUGUCUGCAAAUAACAAGUAAAACAUACACGUAAAAUCCAACAAUAUAUAUACCUGGCCUUGUGUUAAUUUCAGUUUAUUAUAACUUUGUAGGAUUAAUAUUACUAGUGCGGUGCCCUUUAAAAAAAAAGUGCCUGUUUUUAAACGGGUUGAUUGUUCGACCUAUGGUAUUGCUGCUUGCAGCUUUCUCGAGAACCGCUUAUCUAAACAUCCAAAAAAAACAUUAACACUCGCCUCGGACUGCACUUCCUUUCUGUCCAUUUCACAUUAAUGAGAAACACCGUGUUCUCCGGAGAGAAGAGGGGUGAAUACCUCUAUAUAUAGUUAAAAUAAUACUUGCUCUUUGGUGGAUUAUGUGUUCACCAAAUUACAGGAGAUGCUUGGACAGAAUAUUUUUGCCCGGUACAUCUGGCCAGUAAUUGGAGCUGCGUUGUUAUUUUUCUCCUUGUUGUCAUUUCAUUGUUUUUCCUCGGAAUUAUGCUGAUAGAGACACCAGCUCAGAGCAGGACUUUGUGGCAAGCAGUUUUUAAACUUUUUAUCUUCUUUUCAACUUUUUGUUGACUCAUCAGUUUGUUUUUACUUAGCUGUCCCCAUGCACCAAAAUUACAACAGCAGAAGACAGACAGGUGAAGACCAGAGCCCCGUUUCAGGAAGGAGGUUUAACAAACUGAGUCCAACCCUGAACUCUGAGUUGAUU
This is an RNA transcript of Perca flavescens (yellow perch), 4164 nucleotides long. It is a transcript of the gene named leucine rich repeat containing 8 VRAC subunit Ab, with no coding region annotated. Lineage: Eukaryota; Metazoa; Chordata; Actinopteri; Perciformes; Percidae. The record is from RefSeq and is a predicted model, not a curated record. The transcript has 5 exons.